GAUGCUUUUAAUCCUUUAUUACCUGUAGGGGCAGGUGGCUGCUGGGAAGCUACUGCAGGAAAGGAGGUUUACUAACGUGUUCGAGGCCUGGAAUUACGCAGUGGAGCAGUAUAUUUUAGAAGCUAUGGAGAAAGUUCAGAACAACAUGGCUAAAAGAUUCUGAGGACAACCCUUUCUGUCAAUACUGAAUUGUUCCAGAAACAUAUGGAGAAAAUUGUGCAUAGUGGAGACUGUUUUUGCUGAGGUUUUUUCUUGAGGAGAUAAACCAUCUCUGUGAGAAGUCAGUCAGCUAUGUGGACUGCCAUGAAUAUCAAUAAAAUCUUGGCAAACACAUUAAACAAGGAGUACUCUCAGCUUUUCACAUCAUUAAAUCUAGGAAGGACAGAAAAGUCCAAGAUCGGAAGACGUUUUAACACUUACAGGACCUAGAAGUUAAAGGACCUAAUUAUGAGGAGGCAUCAUGGAGAAGUAUAAUAUCUCUCUAUCUGCAGACCA
RNAcentral lists this long non-coding RNA (495 nucleotides) under Dromaius novaehollandiae (emu). RNAcentral describes it as "lncRNA (ENSDNVG00000010764.1)". Lineage: Eukaryota; Metazoa; Chordata; Aves; Casuariiformes; Dromaiidae. The record is from RNAcentral.